AACGAACGCUGGCGGCAGGCCUAAUACAUGCAAGUCGAGCGGAACUUUCGGGGUCAGCGGCGGACGGGUGAGUAACGCGUGGGAAUAUGCCCUUCUCUACGGAAUAGUCCUGGGAAACUGGGGGUAAUACCGUAUACGCCCUUUGGGGGAAAGAUUUAUCGGGGAAGGAUUAGCCCGCGUUGGAUUAGGUAGUUGGUGGGGUAAUGGCCUACCAAGCCGACGAUCCAUAGCUGGUUUGAGAGGAUGAUCAGCCACACUGGGACUGAGACACGGCCCAGACUCCUACGGGAAGCAGCAGUGGGGAAUCUUAGACAAUGGGGGCAACCCUGAUCUAGCCAUGCCGCGUGAGUGAUGAAGGCCUUAGGGUUGUAAAGCUCUUUCAGCUGGGAAGAUAAUGACAGUACCAGCAGAAGAAGCCCCGGCUAACUCCGUG
This 433-nucleotide ribosomal RNA is filed under the name uncultured bacterium. Its description in RNAcentral is "partial 16S ribosomal RNA". It matches the Rfam family "Bacterial small subunit ribosomal RNA", at positions 29 to 507 of the family's 1533-position model. The record is from RNAcentral.